Molecule: small nucleolar RNA, 132 nt
Organism: Drosophila melanogaster (fruit fly)
Lineage: Eukaryota; Metazoa; Arthropoda; Insecta; Diptera; Drosophilidae
Source: Ensembl
UCGCACCUAAAAGCGUUUUCUCGUCGGCUCGUUAAAUGCUCUUGAAAAUCGUAGAUGUGUGCCAGAGCGAAGCUCAGUUGCAAGUGAUACGGCCAUUUUUUGUGGCAGAUAUCCAUAACGCUGACUACAAGU